RNAcentral lists this ribosomal RNA (463 nucleotides) under uncultured bacterium. RNAcentral describes it as "partial 16S ribosomal RNA". It matches the Rfam family "Bacterial small subunit ribosomal RNA", at positions 28 to 506 of the family's 1533-position model. The record is from RNAcentral.
GACGAACGCUGGCGGCGUGCUUAACACAUGCAAGUCGAACGGUAAGGCCCCAGCUUGCUGGGGUACACGAGUGGCGAACGGGUGAGUAACACGUGGGUGACCUGCCCCGCACUUCGGGAUAAGCCUGGGAAACUGGGUCUAAUACCGGAUAGGACCGCACCGUGAGGGUGUGGUGGAAAGUUUUUCGGUGUGGGAUGGGCCCGCGGCCUAUCAGCUUGUUGGUGGGGUAAUGGCCUACCAAGGCGGCGACGGGUAGCCGGCCUGAGAGGGUGGACGGCCACAUUGGGACUGAGACACGGCCCAGACUCCUACGGGAGGCAGCAGUGGGGAAUAUUGCACAAUGGGCGGAGGCCUGAUGCAGCGACGCCGCGUGGGGGAUGACGGCCUUCGGGUUGUAAACUCCUUUCACCAUCGACGAAGGUUUUCUGACGGUAGAUGGAGAAGAAGCACCGGCUAACUACGU